This 430-nucleotide ribosomal RNA is filed under the name uncultured bacterium. RNAcentral describes it as "bacterial SSU rRNA". It matches the Rfam family "Bacterial small subunit ribosomal RNA", at positions 355 to 776 of the family's 1533-position model. The record is from RNAcentral.
UGGGGAAUUUUCCGCAAUGGGCGAAAGCCUGACGGAGUGACGCCGCGUGGGGGACGAAGGCCUUCGGGUCGUAAACCCCUGUCAGAGGGAAAGAAGGGUCGCCUGGCUAAUAUCCAGGUGAUCUGACGGUACCUUCAGAGGAAGCCCCGGCCAACUCUGUGCCAGCAGCCGCGGUAAGACAGAGGGGGCAAGCGUUGCUCGGAAUCACUGGGCGUAAAGGGCGCGUAGGCGGGAUGGCAAGUCGGUCGUGAAAUCCUUCGGCUCAACCGAAGAACGUCGGCCGAUACUGCCGUUCUUGAGGGAUGCAGAGGAGACUGGAAUUCCCGGUGUAGCGGUGAAAUGUGUAGAGAUCGGGAGGAACACCGGUGGCGAAGGCGGGUCUCUGGGCAUUUCCUGACGCUGAGGCGCGAAAGCGUGGGGAGCAAACGGG